This 241-nucleotide ribosomal RNA is filed under the name uncultured Staphylococcus sp. RNAcentral's name for it is "partial 16S ribosomal RNA". It matches the Rfam family "Bacterial small subunit ribosomal RNA", at positions 99 to 334 of the family's 1533-position model. Lineage: Bacteria; Bacillati; Bacillota; Bacilli; Caryophanales; Staphylococcaceae. The record is from RNAcentral.
CGGACGGGUGAGUAACACGUGGAUAACCUACCUAUACGACUGGGAUAACUUCGGGAAACCGGAGCUAAUACCGGAUAAUAUUUUGAACCGCAUGGUUCAAAAGUGAAAGACGGUCUUGCUGUCACUUAUAGAUGGAUCCGCGCUGCAUUAGCUAGUUGGUAAGGUAACGGCUUACCAAGGCAACGAUGCAUAGCCGACCUGAGAGGGUGAUCGGCCACACUGGAACUGAGACACGGUCCAG